This 95-nucleotide transfer RNA is filed under the name Nitrososphaerales archaeon. Its description in RNAcentral is "tRNA-Ile". It matches the Rfam family "tRNA". From Rfam's summary of the family: Transfer RNA (tRNA) molecules are approximately 80 nucleotides in length. Their secondary structure includes four short double-helical elements and three loops (D, anti-codon, and T loops). Lineage: Archaea; Thermoproteati; Nitrososphaerota; Nitrososphaeria; Nitrososphaerales. The record is from RNAcentral.
GGGCCGGUAGCUCAGUUUGGUUUCCAUCUAAAAUGGCCAAAAAGAGCGUUGAGCUGAUAACUCAAAGGUCGCCGGUUCAAAUCCGGUCCGGCCCA